UGCAUUGCGCGGUACUUCGAAAUCGUGGAAAUAUAUAUAUAAAUCUUAAAAUCUUUUACUUUUUAACACACUCUUACUUCUUAAUUUCAUAAUUUAAUUUUCUCUAAUAACAAAUUGCCUAAAAUCCAACAGUAGAAUCAUACACUGAUGUUCGUAGUUUUAGGUUAACAUGGAUUAAACAAAAUCUACACAUAAUGCAUUUGAAAAGUAGCAAAAAUAAAUUAUGAAGGCAAGGCAGAGUGAAAAGUUCACGUUGUUUUUUUUUUGUGUUUUUUUUUAUGAAAGAGUGAUAUUUUUGAUUAAUAUCAACAUUGGAUCACUAGUGUGGGGUAGCAUGUUCCUCUUGAAGGAUGAGACAGUCUGGUAAAUAAAUGCACGUGUGUUGAUUGGACAUCAGCGGGAACAUCCUCUUAAAUGACAAGAACUUAAACCAAUGAGAAACACGGAUCGCCGCCAGCGCUGUUUGUUAUGUUUUGAGGUAAAUUGUACUAUAAGAGAACAACCUUUAAUACUAAUAAACGUUAAAAUACACGAAUGAAAUAUCGUUUUCUAUAUCCUAAUUUUUAGAUAAAUGUAUAUAUUUUUUAAUCUAAACAGCAGUUGUGCGUUUGAGUUGACAUGCACAUUAGUCCCGCCCAAGUGAGCCAACGAGCCAAUAAGAAACACCGUUAGGCUGACGUCUGCGCAUGCUAGAAGAAGUAGGCAGGAAGUUCAUCACGCAGUGAACGCAUCUGUCUGGGCUCACGCGACACUGGUAUUAGAACUUAAAACCAGCAUAAAAACAAUGAUCGCGUUGAAGUGCUAUCUCUCUCUUCCAGUGGUGGCAGGGGCAUUAUUAGUGGGCCUCCCUUACAGUGUCUCUCUUGUUGCCCAGUGGCUUUAUGGCUGGCCCAAUAAACCAGGGUACCAAAAAUAUAUAGAGGCUCUCAAACCAAGGCGCAUAUACUGCCUUACAAGAGCCGUGCUAGAGAUGCUGAAAUAUCUGCAGUAUGGCAAACUGUACUUUCAGUGGAAACUGUGGUACAGUAAUGACAAAAAUAACAAGCACUAUGUGAAAGGCAUAACCUUUGGUCGGCGAGGGAACAAACUAGAUUUAUACUAUUCACCAAACAUGGGCCAUUCUGAUGCUGCUCCUGUACCAGUGGUUGUAUUUGUGUACGGAGGUGCCUGGGGGUCAGGAGACCGCUCCAUUUACUGUCUGUUAGCAUUACAAAUGGCAAAAGAGCUUAAUGCCUCUGUAAUUUGUCCAGAUUAUUCCAUAUAUCCAAAGGGAAAUGUUUUAAAUAUGGUUCAAGACAUUACUGACAGUUUGCUGUGGGUGAGAGAAAAGGGACAAACAUUCAAUCUUGAUCAAGACAACGUAAUAUUAAUAGGUCAUUCAGCAGGGGCUCAUCUGUGUGCCCUUACCACGCUGUUUCUGGUGAACAAUGCAGAAGAACUGUUCCUUAAGACCAACGAACAGAGAGAUCUCGUAUCUGCCAUUAAAGGAAUCAUCGGUCUGAGUGGCGUUUACAGUAUAAUGGAUCAUUAUAAGCAUGAGAAAAUGAGGGCUGUUGAAUAUGUGUCAACUAUGCACAAAGCUAUGGAUGGUGUGGAGAACUUUGAUUAUUAUUCGCCGUCAUCGUUACUCAAGAAACUGAAUGAGGAUCAGUUGAAAAGUUUGCUAUUGUAG
This is a long non-coding RNA of Cyprinus carpio (common carp), 1672 nucleotides long. The record is from Ensembl. Lineage: Eukaryota; Metazoa; Chordata; Actinopteri; Cypriniformes; Cyprinidae.